RNAcentral lists this ribosomal RNA (119 nucleotides) under Pteropus alecto (black flying fox). Lineage: Eukaryota; Metazoa; Chordata; Mammalia; Chiroptera; Pteropodidae. The record is from RNAcentral.
GUCUAUAGCCAUGCUACCCUGAACAAGCCUGAUCCCAUCUGAUCUUGGAAGCUAAGCAUAGUCGGGCCUGGUUAGUACUUGGAUGGGAGACCACCUAGGAAGACCAGGUGCUAUAGGCA